AUGCACGCUGGCGGCGUGCCUAAUCCAUGCAAGUCGAGCGAACGGACGAGAAGCUUGCUUCUCUGAUGUUAGCGGCGGACGGGUGAGUAACACGUGGAUAACCUACCUAUAAGACUGGGAUAACUUCGGGAAACCGGAGCUAAUACCGGAUAAUAUUUUGAACCGCAUGGUUCAAAAGUGAAAGACGGUCUUGCUGUCACUUAUAGAUGGAUCCGCGCUGCAUUAGCUAGUUGGUAAGGUAACGGCUUACCAAGGCAACGAUGCAUAGCCGACCUGAGAGGGUGAUCGGCCACACUGGAACUGAGACACGGUCCAGACUCCUACGGGAGGCAGCAGUAGGGAAUCUUCCGCAAUGGGCGAAAGCCUGACGGAGCAACGCCGCGUGAGUGAUGAAGGUCUUAGGAUCGUAAAACUCUGUUAUUAGGGAAGAACAUAUGUGUAAGUAACUGUGCACAUCUUGACGGUACCUAAUCAGAAAGCCACGGCUAACUACGUG
This 496-nucleotide ribosomal RNA is filed under the name uncultured bacterium. RNAcentral describes it as "partial 16S ribosomal RNA". It matches the Rfam family "Bacterial small subunit ribosomal RNA", at positions 29 to 507 of the family's 1533-position model. The record is from RNAcentral.